Molecule: ribosomal RNA, 425 nt
Filed under: Chromobacterium subtsugae
Lineage: Bacteria; Pseudomonadati; Pseudomonadota; Betaproteobacteria; Neisseriales; Chromobacteriaceae
Description: bacterial SSU rRNA
Rfam family: Bacterial small subunit ribosomal RNA
Source: RNAcentral
UGCAAGUCGAACGGUAACAGGGAGCUUGCUCCGCUGACGAGUGGCGAACGGGUGAGUAACGCAUCGGAAUGUACCGUGUAAUGGGGGAUAGCUCGGCGAAAGCCGGAUUAAUACCGCAUACGCCCUGAGGGGGAAAGUGGGGGACCGUAAGGCCUCACGUUAUACGAGCAGCCGAUGUCUGAUUAGCUAGUUGGUGAGGUAAGAGCUCACCAAGGCGACGAUCAGUAGCGGGUCUGAGAGGAUGAUCCGCCACACUGGGACUGAGACACGGCCCAGACUCCUACGGGAGGCAGCAUGUGGGGAAUUUUGGACAAUGGGCGCAACGCCUGAUCCAGCCAUGCCGCGUGUCUGAAGGAAGGCCUUCGGGUUGUAAAGGACUUUUGUUCGGGAGGAAAUCCCGCUGGUUAAUACCUGGCGGGGAUGAC